This 798-nucleotide ribosomal RNA is filed under the name uncultured bacterium. RNAcentral describes it as "bacterial SSU rRNA". It matches the Rfam family "Bacterial small subunit ribosomal RNA", at positions 62 to 824 of the family's 1533-position model. The record is from RNAcentral.
UCGAACGAGUUCUCGUUGAUGAUCGGUGCUUGCACCGAGAUUCAACAUGGAACGAGUGGCGGACGGGUGAGUAACACGUGGGUAACCUGCCCUUAAGUGGGGGAUAACAUUUGGAAACAGAUGCUAAUACCGCAUAGAUCCAAGAACCGCAUGGUUCUUGGCUGAAAGAUGGCGUAAGCUAUCGCUUUUGGAUGGACCCGCGGCGUAUUAGCUAGUUGGUGAGGUAAUGGCUCACCAAGGCGAUGAUACGUAGCCGAACUGAGAGGUUGAUCGGCCACAUUGGGACUGAGACACGGCCCAAACUCCUACGGGAGGCAGCAGUAGGGAAUCUUCCACAAUGGACGCAAGUCUGAUGGAGCAACGCCGCGUGAGUGAAGAAGGCUUUCGGGUCGUAAAACUCUGUUGUUGGAGAAGAAUGGUCGGCAGAGUAACUGUUGUCGGCGUGACGGUAUCCAACCAGAAAGCCACGGCUAACUACGUGCCAGCAGCCGCGGUAAUACGUAGGUGGCAAGCGUUAUCCGGAUUUAUUGGGCGUAAAGCGAGCGCAGGCGGUUUUUUAAGUCUGAUGUGAAAGCCCUCGGCUUAACCGAGGAAGCGCAUCGGAAACUGGGAAACUUGAGUGCAGAAGAGGACAGUGGAACUCCAUGUGUAGCGGUGAAAUGCGUAGAUAUAUGGAAGAACACCAGUGGCGAAGGCGGCUGUCUGGUCUGUAACUGACGCUGAGGCUCGAAAGCAUGGGUAGCGAACAGGAUUAGAUACCCUGGUAGUCCAUGCCGUAUACGAUGAAUGCUAGGUGUU